Molecule: ribosomal RNA, 253 nt
Filed under: uncultured bacterium
Lineage: Bacteria
Description: partial 16S ribosomal RNA
Rfam family: Bacterial small subunit ribosomal RNA
Source: RNAcentral
UACGUAGGGUGCUAGCGUUGUCCGGAUUUAUUGGGCGUAAAGAGCGUGUAGGCGGCCAGGUAGGUCUGGUGUGAAAACUCGAGGCUUAACCUCGAGAUGUCAUCGGAAACCAUCUGGCUAGAGUCCGGAAGAGGAGAGUGGAAUUCCUGGUGUAGCGGUGAAAUGCGCAGAUAUCAGGAAGAACACCAAUGGCGAAAGCAGCUCUCUGGGACGGUACUGACGCUGAGACGCGAAAGCGUGGGGAGCGAACAGG